ACGGAAGGCAGCAGUGGGGAAUAUUGCACAAUGGGGGAAACCCUGAUGCAGCGACGCCGCGUGAGUGAAGAAGUAUUUCGGUAUGUAAAGCUCUAUCAGCAGGGAAGAAAAUGACGGUACCUGACUAAGAAGCCCCGGCUAACUACGUGCCAGCAGCCGCGGUAAUACGUAGGGGGCAAGCGUUAUCCGGAUUUACUGGGUGUAAAGGGAGCGUAGACGGCAUGGCAAGUCUGAUGUGAAAGGUGGGGGCUCAACCCCCAAACUGCAUUGGAAACUGCCAGGCUCGAGUGCCGGAGAGGUAAGCGGAAUUCCUAGUGUAGCGGUGAAAUGCGUAGAUAUUAGGAGGAACACCAGUGGCGAAGGCGGCUUACUGGACUGUAACUGACGUUGAGGCUCGAAAGCGUGGGGAGCAAACAGGAUUAGAUACCCUGGUA
RNAcentral lists this ribosomal RNA (434 nucleotides) under uncultured Lachnospiraceae bacterium. Its description in RNAcentral is "partial 16S ribosomal RNA". It matches the Rfam family "Bacterial small subunit ribosomal RNA", at positions 341 to 792 of the family's 1533-position model. Lineage: Bacteria; Bacillati; Bacillota; Clostridia; Lachnospirales; Lachnospiraceae. The record is from RNAcentral.